UACAGAGGUUGCGAGCGUUAAUCGGAAUUACUGGGCGUAAAGCGCGCGUAGGCGGCUUUGUAAGUCGGUUGUGAAAUCCCCGGGCUUAACCUGGGAACUGCAUCCGAGACUGCAUAGCUAGAGUAUGGGAGAGGGAAGUGGAAUUUCAGGUGUAGCGGUGAAAUGCGCAGAUAUCAGGAAGAACACCAAUGGCGAAGGCAGCUCUCUGGGACGGUACUGACGCUGAGACGCGAAAGCGUGGGGAGCGAACAGG
This 253-nucleotide ribosomal RNA is filed under the name uncultured bacterium. Its description in RNAcentral is "partial 16S ribosomal RNA". It matches the Rfam family "Bacterial small subunit ribosomal RNA", at positions 524 to 776 of the family's 1533-position model. The record is from RNAcentral.